Meriones unguiculatus (Mongolian gerbil) is the source of this 1197-nucleotide long non-coding RNA. RefSeq lists it as uncharacterized. The transcript has 4 exons. Lineage: Eukaryota; Metazoa; Chordata; Mammalia; Rodentia; Muridae. The record is from RefSeq and is a predicted model, not a curated record.
GUCAGAUGCUCCAGGCACCCAAGAAGGACCAAGGGGAUGCAGAACGCAGUGUCAGACACCCGGGUCGCCCUGGACAUCACAGAAAUCUCACGUGCCAGCGUCGGGAACCAGGAUCAAAGCUCUGCUUCCCUCACCCUGAUUCCCUGAGAUGGGAGGGGGAGGGGCAAGUGAAGAGAGAACUUAGCUUGGAAGGGCUGCUAAAGGAGAGCACAGUACAAGGAGACAAAACAAACCCUGAGAGUCAAGGAAGUUGAAGAGUGUACAAGGUCACUGCCUAGAAGAUUGGAAGCCAAGUUGUCUGAUGCCAGCACGGUCCGGUUACACAGGUGUCUACUGCAGCCUUGACCACUUGAGUAUGUGGGUCCUGGGACGGGGAAAGGGAGCAAAGUGACCAGUCACAGAGCAUCAGUGAAGACAACUGAACACUGACUUGGGGUCAUAUAUCCCUUCCUUGGCCGAGCUUCUUGGCCACCAUUGAAGAAAGUGGUUUUUCUCCGCCAUGGCAUUCCAUGUUUCUGUCUUGCCACAGACCUAAAACUCAGAGGGUCGUGGACUGAGAACUCUGAAGCCAGGAGCCAAAACCAAUCUUGACUCCUAUAAUUUGUUUUCUUGGACAUUUUGUUGCAACACAAAAACUGAUCAAGACACCCGGAUGUAGCUUUGGAGGGAGACUUCCCUAAACAUAUCCGAGUUUUUCUUUCAAAAGUCUAUUAACCCCAGAUGUGGUUGCUGAGAAUGAAAUCGAGAGCCAAGCAGAUGAUAGUCACCCAGCGUGGGCUCAGCACCUCAUUUCUGAAUUUGAGGUUGUGCACGGCUUAGCUCUCUCCCCUGAUCCCUGUGCACAGAUCUGUGGCCAGCAUGGCAGAUGGAGGAUGGGCUCAUGAAUGGUUCACAAAUCUAGUUAAAUGUCGACACUGGGAGACACAUUCCAGCCUGAAUUCAUUUAAAAGAAUAAGAGUUGGGGAGAAAGUUCUCAACUAACCUAUAUGCCCCUUUCUCCUCACUAAGCAGUUAAAGAAGAUACAUUUUAAAGCAUGUUUCUUUUCUUUUAUGUGCAUUAGUGUGAAGGUAUCAGAUCCCUUAGAAGGGGCAUUACAGAUAGUUGUGAGCUACCAUGAGUGCUAAGAAUUGAACCCGGGUCCUUUGGAAGAGCAGACAGUACUCUUAACCACUGAGCCAUCUCCUUAGCCCUGUAAA